ACCCUUGGAGAGUCAAAGACCAGCGUUCUCUUCCCAGAGGUGGGAAGCGGGCUCUGGAAACAUCUAGGACUAUGGAAAAGAAGCCCUCCCUAAGUCCUAGAAGAGUCGUGAAAUCACUGAGGCUGACGUUGCAGUCCCUUGAAGCAAGACCUAGUUUAUCAGCUGACUGAUUCCAUGGCUCCCACCUGCGGGGACGGCAAGAUGGACUAGCUCAGCUCUGGGAGCGGUGAGUCCAGGCACUGUCUGUGCAACUAAAGGCUGGCUAACUUUCCAAUGAGCCCACAGUGUCUCCUCGGAGGGCAAGGCACAGAAACGCAUCCCGUGGA
Meriones unguiculatus (Mongolian gerbil) is the source of this 326-nucleotide long non-coding RNA. RefSeq lists it as uncharacterized. The transcript is spliced from 3 exons. The record is from RefSeq and is a predicted model, not a curated record. NCBI's taxonomy places the organism in Eukaryota, Metazoa, Chordata, Mammalia, Rodentia, Muridae.